Molecule: ribosomal RNA, 440 nt
Filed under: uncultured bacterium
Lineage: Bacteria
Description: partial 16S ribosomal RNA
Rfam family: Bacterial small subunit ribosomal RNA
Source: RNAcentral
CCUACGGGCGGCAGCAGUAGGGAAUAUUGCUCAAUGGGGGAAACCCUGAUGCAGCAACGCCGCGUGGAUGAUGAAGGUUUUCGGUUUGUAAACUCCUAUUAUUAGAGAAGAUAAUGACGGUAUCUAACGAAUAAGCACCGGCUAACUCCGUGCCAGCAGCCGCGGUAAUACGGAGGGUGCAAGCGUUACUCGGAAUCACUGGGCGUAAAGAGCGCGUAGGCGGGAUAGCAAGUCAGAUGUGAAAUCCUAUGGCUUAACCCUAGAACUGCAUUUGAAACUGUUAUACUAGAGUACGGGAGAGGUAGGUGGAAUUCUUGGUGUAGGGGUAAAAUCCGUAGAGAUCAAGAGGAACACUCAUUGCGAAGGCGACUUGCUAGAACAUAACUGACGCUGAUGCGCGAAAGCGUGGGGAGCAAACAGGAUUAGAUACCCCUGUAGUC